Molecule: ribosomal RNA, 990 nt
Filed under: Triticum aestivum (bread wheat)
Lineage: Eukaryota; Viridiplantae; Streptophyta; Magnoliopsida; Poales; Poaceae
Description: partial small subunit ribosomal RNA
Source: RNAcentral
AAGCUUGUAAAUGUUCAUUAUUUGGACGAGACAACAUUUAUGCUUGGAAAUGACGAAGAAGGGGAAGAGGCUAUGGUUUUUGACACAAGUCCAAGCUUUGAUGAUCUUGUAGUUAAAGUGAGAAGUGUGUUACAUUGGAAUGACCCAAAUGCCAAGGUUAAUCUUAUUGGGAGGUAUGACGUUGGAUUGGGAUUAAAGUCCCGAUUAAAGAGUAUGCCCAUCACCUCCCAAUUGCAUUGGAAUGUGUACAAGGAAAAAGUAGACGCAUCACAAGACAAGUCUCUUGAGAUUUUUGCCACAAAGGUUGAUCCUCUUCCUCCGUUGCAAAUUGAUCUCAACUGCAAUGCAUCCUCCGCAAUACACGAUGAUAGUGCCGAGGUGUAUAUCCCCAAUUGUUCUAGCCAACCACCAAGUAGCCAACCCAAUGAAGAUCAUAUCAAUGCUAGCGCCAUAGUACUUCGUCAUGAUGCUAUUCCUCAUGUUGAAGAAGAUGAUAGUGGUCAUGUUGAUGAUGAUGCUAUUGUUGCUCAAGAGGAUGCUUAUGCGCAGAAUGAAGAAAUCCAUUACAAUCCAAUUGGUAACUUGGAUGUCAUUGUGCGCCAACAAGACAUGGACCGUACCCUCCCUUACAACCGUAUGUGUGGGUAUAACUCGGAGGACGAGGGUCCGGAGGAAGAAUUGGAUGAGGAUGGGUUAACUGCGCAAGAAAAUGAAAUCUACAAGAAGGUAACCGGCAAGGAGAGAGGGCCGCCGUUGUUUAGGGAUGUGAGUCUUGCGGACAAUGCCGUUGUUGAUGGUGGGCUGAGAUUCGGGUUGUCUGAGCCAACACCGUGCCCAAAUUCAGUUUGGUUCUUUGGUAGAGUUAAUACAUUAAUACUAACACCGUGCAAACCCCAAUUAUGUACAUUAAUACUAGCACUAGAUCUAGUUACACAAACUAUUCUACAAGCAAUUCUAAGCACAUCACACAAAAGGAAAUCACAAACAUAA